CCUACGGGUGGCAGCAGUCGAGAAUCAUUCACAAUGGGGGAAACCCUGAUGGUGCGACGCCGCGUGGGGGAAUGAAGGUCUUCGGAUUGUAAACCCCUGUCAUGUGGGAGCAAAUUAAAAAGAUAGUACCACAAGAGGAAGAGACGGCUAACUCUGUGCCAGCAGCCGCGGUAAUACAGAGGUCUCAAGCGUUGUUCGGGAUCACUGGGCGUAAAGCGUGCGUAGGCUGUUUCGUAAGUCGUGUGUGAAAGGCGCGGGCUCAACCCGCGGACGGCACAUGAUACUGCGAGACUAGAGUAAGGGAGGGGGAACCGGAAUUCUCGGUGUAGCAGUGAAAUGCGUAGAUAUCGAGAGGAACACUCGUGGCGAAGGCGAGUACCUGGACAUUAACUGACGCUGAGGCACGAAGGCCAGGGGAGCGAAAGGGAUUAGAUACCCGAGUAGUC
This 446-nucleotide ribosomal RNA is filed under the name uncultured bacterium. RNAcentral's name for it is "partial 16S ribosomal RNA". It matches the Rfam family "Bacterial small subunit ribosomal RNA", at positions 338 to 795 of the family's 1533-position model. The record is from RNAcentral.